RNAcentral lists this long non-coding RNA (459 nucleotides) under Zonotrichia albicollis (white-throated sparrow). RNAcentral's name for it is "lncRNA (ENSZALG00000016265.1)". The record is from RNAcentral. Lineage: Eukaryota; Metazoa; Chordata; Aves; Passeriformes; Passerellidae.
CAUGCAUUUGUGGGCAUGAAAGGGAUUGUCUUCGACUGCCCUUAAGAUUAGAUUUUUCCACCAGAAUGUAAGAAUGUGUGCAUAAGCACGGACACAUGAAUGUGUAUGGUGUUGGUGUGGGCCCAGGCUGCAAGAAUUCUCAUAGCUGGAAGAAAUAUCCUCAGCUCACAAUGACCUGAGUUUCUGCAUAUGUCUCUGGGGGCCAGAUGCAGCACAAUCUAGGAACUGAGCGUAUGAGGUCAGAGGAGAGGAAUGAGGUGCUCUGCAGGGCCGCAGGGCUGAGCCGAGUGCAAGGUACGGAAUGGCUGAAUGUGCACUUGCUGCCAUGGUGACGCGGGGAGCAGACUCGGCGGUCGGGCCGCAGCCGGACAGACGGCCUCGCUGAGGUUCAGCUGCCUUUGAGACAAAAGGUCUGCAGUGUGCCUUACUCCAGCAAGAGAGCAGACAUUCUGGACAAAC